This 76-nucleotide transfer RNA is filed under the name Deltaproteobacteria bacterium GWA2_54_12. RNAcentral's name for it is "tRNA-Thr". It matches the Rfam family "tRNA". Rfam says of the family: Transfer RNA (tRNA) molecules are approximately 80 nucleotides in length. The record is from RNAcentral. RNAcentral also lists the same sequence under 1 other name. Lineage: Bacteria; Deltaproteobacteria.
GCCGACGUAGCUCAGUUGGUAGAGCAGCUGAUUCGUAAUCAGCAGGUCAGGAGUUCGAAUCUCCUCGUCGGCUCCA